This 253-nucleotide ribosomal RNA is filed under the name uncultured bacterium. Its description in RNAcentral is "partial 16S ribosomal RNA". It matches the Rfam family "Bacterial small subunit ribosomal RNA", at positions 524 to 776 of the family's 1533-position model. The record is from RNAcentral.
UACAGGGGGGGCAAGCGUUGUUCGGAAUUACUGGGCGUAAAGGGUCUGUAGGUGGCCAACUAAGUCAAACGUGAAAUCCCCGGGCUUAACCCGGGAACUGCGACCGAUACUGGUUGGCUUGAAUUCGGGAGAGGGAUGCGGAAUUCCAGGUGUAGCGGUGAAAUGCGUAGAUAUCUGGAGGAACACCGGUGGCGAAGGCGGCAUCCUGGACCGGCAUUGACGCUGAGGCGCGAAAGCCAGGGGAGCAAACGGG